GAGGAAUAUUGGGCAAUGCCCGCAAGGGUGACCCAGCAACGCCGCGUGGAGGAUGAAUGUCGUAAGAUUGUAAACUCCUGUUAGAGGGGAAGAAUAGUACCGGUUGGACCGGUAUAUGACUGUACCCUCAGAGAAAGCCCCGGCUAACUACGUGCCAGCAGCCGCGGUAAUACGUAGGGGGCAAGCGUUGUCCGGAUUUACUGGGUGUAAAGGGCGCGCAGGCGGGAUAAAAAGUCAGUGGUGAAAUCCUACAGCUUAACUGUAGAACUGCCUUUGAUACUUUUAUUCUUGAGCUCGGGAGAGAGAGACGGAAUUCCAGGGGUAGUGGGGAAAUACGUAGAUAUCUGUAAGAACACCAGUUGCGAAGGCGGUCUCUUGGUCCGACACUGACGCUGAGGCGCGAAAGCGUGG
Molecule: ribosomal RNA, 411 nt
Filed under: uncultured bacterium
Lineage: Bacteria
Description: bacterial SSU rRNA
Rfam family: Bacterial small subunit ribosomal RNA
Source: RNAcentral